Molecule: non-coding RNA, 148 nt
Filed under: Gorilla gorilla gorilla (western lowland gorilla)
Lineage: Eukaryota; Metazoa; Chordata; Mammalia; Primates; Hominidae
Source: Rfam by way of RNAcentral
GCUGGGCGUGGUGACGCACGCCUGUGGUCCCAGGUACUCUGGAGGCUGAGGCAUGAGAAUUGCUUGAACCUGGGGGGCAGAGGUGGCAGUGACCCAAGAUUGUGCCACUGCACUCCAGCCUGGGUGACAGAGCGAGACCCUGUCUCAA